GUGGUGUAUUAUGCAGCAGUAGUUAACGGAAACAUCUUCCCAGCAAUCUCCUUGCUAAGCAAAAGUUUUUGGCAAAUUGCCGCUGCAGCUACUUCCUCUGUUUACUGUUAACUGCAACAGUGAGAGCUCAGAAAUUCCCAGACUGUUUUGAUGAUAAGGUCCAAGAACUUGCCAUGUGAUCCAUCACUACUAGACUCCCACAACUGCAUUAGAUUUGUUCAGGAUUUUCAUAUAAUUUUCAUAACUGGCUAAGUUCUGAAAUAACCCAUCUUGAAGACAUAAACAAUGUGCAUUGAUGGCUAGCCAGACUCUGUCCUGCCACAGUUCUCCUCCUACUCUUCAUUUCUUACCCCAAGGAGUAGUAAACAUGAAUCCUGACCCACCAAUGCAGUCCCAGAACUGAGAAAAGAUUCACUGCAGCUAAACAGAUUAUUUUUGCACCUUUGGAAAGCAACUGAAAAAGGAAGCCUGGAAAAAAUCCUGCCUAACAAAGCAGCAGUACUCAAAUAGCUUUAACUAUAAGAAAGAACUGAUUCAAG
This 539-nucleotide long non-coding RNA is filed under the name Homo sapiens (human). RNAcentral describes it as "non-protein coding LINC02588:28". The record is from RNAcentral. Lineage: Eukaryota; Metazoa; Chordata; Mammalia; Primates; Hominidae.